This 350-nucleotide long non-coding RNA is filed under the name Homo sapiens (human). Its description in RNAcentral is "non-protein coding MALINC1:41". Lineage: Eukaryota; Metazoa; Chordata; Mammalia; Primates; Hominidae. The record is from RNAcentral.
GAUGAGCCCCUGCGCGGGCAGCGCAAUGGUCUGGCCCUGCGUGGAGCCCAGGCCAGGCCCCCGGUUGACCGUCUGGCGGAUGCGCAGGAAGCGGCCGCGCUGGUUCUCCUUGAGAUCCAUGUAGUACUUGCGGUUCUCGCGCACCAGGAACUCGCUUUUGAGCGCCCGGCGCGGCUCGUCCUGCGCCUGGGCCAGGUCCGGCGGCUGGCUGGGGCCCAGCUGCGCGUAGUGCUCGAUGAAGUCGCCCAGGUAGUCGCGGAACUCCACGGCCACUGACAUGGAGAGAGUAAGGCGGCUCUUGUUGCCGCCCGCGCCCACCUCGGCGAUCUUCAGGAAGCGGCCCUUGGCGU